GCGGAAGGAUCAUUACCGAGUGAGGGCCCUCUGGGUCCAACCUCCCACCCGUGUUUAUUUUACCUUGUUGCUUCGGCGGGCCCGCCUUAACUGGCCGCCGGGGGGCUUACGCCCCCGGGCCCGCGCCCGCCGAAGACACCCUCGAACUCUGUCUGAAGAUUGUAGUCUGAGUGAAAAUAUAAAUUAUUUAAAACUUUCAACAACGGAUCUCUUGGUUCCGGCAUCGAUGAAGAACGCAGCGAAAUGCGAUACGUAAUGUGAAUUGCAAAUUCAGUGAAUCAUCGAGUCUUUGAACGCACAUUGCGCCCCCUGGUAUUCCGGGGGGCAUGCCUGUCCGAGCGUCAUUGCUGCCCUCAAGCACGGCUUGUGUGUUGGGCCCCGUCCUCCGAUCCCGGGGGACGGGCCCGAAAGGCAGCGGCGGCACCGCGUCCGGUCCUCGAGCGUAUGGGGCUUUGUCACCCGCUCUGUAGGCCCGGCCGGCGCUUGCCGAUCAACCCAAAUUUUUAUCCAGGUUGACCUCGGAUCAGGUAGGGAUACCCGCUGAACUUAA
This 550-nucleotide ribosomal RNA is filed under the name Penicillium chrysogenum. RNAcentral's name for it is "eukaryotic LSU rRNA". The stretch from base 192 to 344 matches the Rfam family "5.8S ribosomal RNA". Lineage: Eukaryota; Fungi; Ascomycota; Eurotiomycetes; Eurotiales; Aspergillaceae. The record is from RNAcentral.